Molecule: RNA transcript, 2449 nt
Organism: Trichechus manatus latirostris (Florida manatee)
Lineage: Eukaryota; Metazoa; Chordata; Mammalia; Sirenia; Trichechidae
Gene: RPA2
Gene name: replication protein A2
Exons: 10
Source: RefSeq, a predicted model, not a curated record
CCGGACGCUGGAUGGCUCUGUCAUUCGCGGAAGGAGUUUGGGGCGCCAGCUAAAAGUAGAUACAGCGCUGCGACAGCAACAGGGCGCUGAGGUCCCUGGCGGACCCACUAGAUCGGAGCCUGAGGCAGUCACGACCAAUAUGUGGAAUAGUGAAUUUGAAAGCUAUGGCAGCUCCACCUACAGUGGCGCCGGCGGCUACACACAGUCCCCGGGCGGCUUUGGGUCGCCCGCACCUGCUAAAGCUGAGAGGAAAUCAAGAGCCCGAGCCCAGCACAUUGUACCCUGUACCAUAUCCCAGCUGCUUUCUGCCACUCUAGUUGAUGAAGUGUUCAAAAUUGACAAUGUUGAGAUUUCACAGGUCACUAUCGUGGGGAUAAUCAGACAUGCAGAAAAGGCACCAACCAACAUUGUUUACAAAAUAGAUGACAUGACAGCUGCACCCAUGGAUGUUCGCCAGUGGGUUGACACAGAUGAUGCAAGUAGUGAAAACACUGUGGUUCCUCCAGAAACAUACGUGAAAGUGGCUGGCCACCUGAGAUCUUUUCAGAACAAAAAAAGCCUGGUAGCCUUUAAAAUCAUACCCCUGGAGGAUAUGAAUGAGUUCACCGCACAUAUUCUGGAAGUAGUCAAUGCACACAUGAUGCUGAGCAAGUCUAACAACCAGCCCUCAGCAGGGAGAGCACUUAUCAGCAAUCCAGGAAUGGGUGAAGCAGGGAGCUUUGGUGCGAAUAGCUUCAUUCCAGUAAAUGGCCUCACUGUUGCCCAAAACCAGGUGCUGAAUUUGAUUAAAGCUUGCCCAAGACCUGAAGGAUUGAAUUUUAAUGAUCUCCAGGCUCAGCUCCAUUACAUGAAUACAGCCUCAAUCAAGCAAGCUGUGGAUUUUCUUAGCAACGAAGGACACAUCUAUUCCACUGUGGAUGAUGAUCAUUUUAAGUCUACAGAUGCAGAAUAACUGGAUCUAAUUGGGGACCUAAGAUAUUUUCUAGCUGGAUCUGUUUUCACAAUCUCCAGCUGUGCAUUUAUUUGAAUUGCACUUUCCUUCGGCCUCUUGUCAUGACUGCUGCCGAAAGCGUGUUGUAUGGAUGUGAGGUUAUGGAGUGAUGGCCCAGCGGGGCAGAGGAGAGGAAGAAACAUGUGCUUUGUACUAGAUAAGUACACUCAUAUGUUUAAUAAAACACUUCUUAUUGCGGUAACUUGUGGAAGUAUUUUUGUUUUUCUUUUUGAGCUGAUGUAAUUACUUUAUCAUCUGAGCAGUGUAGCAUAGUAAGACUUGCCUUUGAAUCCUACCUCUUCCUGUUUUGAGUUAGGAUCUUGAGCAAGCUAUGUCAGCUCUGAGAACCUCCAUUUCCUCAUUUAUUAAGAGAGAACUGUGUUAUUUCUUCAUAGGCUUGUUGUGAAGAUGGAAUUAAAUAAAGUCUGUAAAAUAUCUAGCAUUGCUAUUAAUAAGUGGAUUAUAAAAUGGACCUCAACAUUGAAUUCUUAGCAGUAUUUGAUCAUGUAACUGAAUCGAAUAUCUACUAUUUGACUUCAAAAUGAGACUUUCCAAAGGCCUAUGGCUAUUUUUUGGCCAACUUGAUCAGCUCUGUUUCUUGUGAGAGGAGACUGGUUCAAAGAUGUUUUUGACAACUCCAAAAAGUAAGCGAGGCCUUGAAUGAAAAGAACCAGUUCUGAGAUAAGUUAAUGAAAUAACAUGCAAAUAAAAAUUCUAUAUCUGCUUUAACUGUGUUUCUAAAUGAGACCUACCAGCAGCUGUGAAGAAGGCUCCACUCUUACAGCCCCACCCCUGGUUUCUAACUGACUUAUUUUCUGUACAUGCAAAGUAGUUUCCAUCUGGAGAGCUAUGAAGUACUUAAAACUCAGUCAGCCAGUAUGUUUGUUUGCAAGUAUUUCCAUUCUUGAUGAUUUUCUGAAAGAAAGGACAGUGGCUAAAAAACAGGUUUUUUUUGUUUUUAAAAAAAAUGUUGUCAUGUAGUUUCUGAGCCCUAGCAGGAGCCGGCCAAGCCAUUCUGCAGUGGAAUGAAACUCCAUCCUUUGUAGAUCCUCUGUCAGGCAGGAGGGACUUGCAUUUUGGGUAUGUAUGUUCACCUGGGAUGUCAGGUGUGCAGUGUUCUUUUGGCACAUUGUUGAGACAGGAACAGGGCGUUGAAGAAGUCAGAACUAGUUUCCUCUCCUUGGGCAGUGAGUUGACCCACUAGGUAUUCAGUAAACAUUUGUUGCUGGUGAAGGGUAAGGUAGUACACAAUACUGGGGAAGCCAGCACAACUUGUCCAAGGCAAGGUCACGGAAGCUCCAUAGACACAUCCAAACCUGCUGAGGGCAAGUUACUAAGCUGAGGGCUGUGGGGACCAUGGUCUGGGGGAUCAUCUAGCUCAGCUGGCAUAACAUAGUUUAUAAAGAAAAUGUUCUACCUUCUACUUUGGUGAGUAGCGUCUGGGGUCUUAAAAGCUUG